CAGACGCCAUGGAGUUGGUGCUGGUCUUCCUCUGCAGCCUGCUGGCCCCCACGGUCCUGGCCAGUGCAGCUGAGAAGGAGAAGGAAAUGGACCCUUUUCAUUAUGGUGAGCGAUGGCGACCCUGGGUGCAGGGGUCAGGGGGAAUGCAGCCCUGUCUGGCAGGAGGGAUGUGGGGAACAGACACCCUCUCGUUGGCCCCUUCCUCUCUCACCCUUGGUUCCUUUGGCAGAUUACCAGACCCUGAGGAUUGGGGGACUGGUGUUCGCUGUGGUCCUCUUCUCGGUUGGGAUCCUCCUUAUCUUAAGUAAGUUUGUUCUUUUGCUCCCUCUAUGAGAGCAAUGACUGAGGCUGCUAAGCAGGUGGGGACAGUGUGAGAGCCUGGUUGGUCCCUCUCCUGGAGAGGAAAGGAGGCUGCCUGCCCUCCGUGUUAUCUUCAGGACCCAGUAGAGUGCUGGACACAUAGUAAGUGCUCAGUAAAACAGUGAAGCGGGAACAAAGAAAAUGUCAUAUGACAAUGAGCAUAGAU
This 526-nucleotide small RNA is filed under the name Pongo abelii (Sumatran orangutan). RNAcentral's name for it is "retained intron". Lineage: Eukaryota; Metazoa; Chordata; Mammalia; Primates; Hominidae. The record is from RNAcentral.